UUGAGGUUAAUCUGGGACUAAAUGG
RNAcentral lists this non-coding RNA (25 nucleotides) under Cricetulus griseus (Chinese hamster). Lineage: Eukaryota; Metazoa; Chordata; Mammalia; Rodentia; Cricetidae. The record is from RNAcentral.